CCGGCAUUUUAUAGCCAGAGACAAGAAAUUUCACCACUGCUGGAAACAUUUCUAUCAAGUCAGUUAGAGAAGAAAAAUAAUCACCUUGCAGGAACAUGCCCAGAUAAACCCGAAAGUGAGCUGUGAAGCAGAAGCCCUAGCGUGGGAAGGAGAUCCUGCAAGUAUCUCAGCCAUGAAUUACUGCCAUUUUACUGCUGGGCCUCAUUUUUUUGUGCAGCUUCAAUUUGGUGGUGUUGUCCCUGACGAAGAUAAAUGUGCCUCCAAUACAGAAGAUGUGAUAACUAGGACUACUGAUAACUUCUUUUCUUGGCUGCCGUCCCACCAAAUGAGUCACAUUUAGUCAAGAUUUUGCCCUUAUUACAUGCCUGGGGUCAGUAUCCUGGAGAUUCAGUGGUUACUAAUGGUUACUCGGCCAGAGAAAUGAAGGAAGAGGUAAGGCAAAAAAAAACCCGCAUACAUAUAUGGUGUAUUUUU
Chroicocephalus ridibundus (black-headed gull) is the source of this 474-nucleotide long non-coding RNA. RefSeq lists it as uncharacterized. The record is from RefSeq and is a predicted model, not a curated record. The transcript is spliced from 3 exons. Lineage: Eukaryota; Metazoa; Chordata; Aves; Charadriiformes; Laridae.